AGAUACCCCAUGAACCCACCUCCAGUGACUACUUACUUCCUCAGUGAUGGUUUCUAGAAUUUGUCAGAAUAGUCCUACCAGGACUCUGGAUUAGAUAUAUCAGCAGAUUGGGAGGCAUGCCAAGUCUGGUGGUUCAUCUGUAAAGACAAGAUCCAUCACUCGCUGUCAUGUUUAUGACCUCCUGCUGUUGCUCUGCCUGCGACUUCAUUCCUUCACUUGGUAAUUUUUGAUAACACAUUAACAGAUGCUGAGGCUCAGUGUUUAUAUCCUUAUUGUUUGUGGCUCAUUUACUCUGACCCAUGUGAUAAUCAAUCAUGAGAAUAUUCUAUAACAUCCAUGCACUGUCCUGCUUAGAGGGACUUAUUUCCAUUUUAUAUGAAAAAAACUUCUAUUAGAUUCCAGUAUGCAUAUUCAAAGCUUGAUACUCAG
RNAcentral lists this long non-coding RNA (429 nucleotides) under Cricetulus griseus (Chinese hamster). RNAcentral describes it as "lncRNA (ENSCGRG00015035614.1)". Lineage: Eukaryota; Metazoa; Chordata; Mammalia; Rodentia; Cricetidae. The record is from RNAcentral.